AAUCAACGCUGGCGGCGUGCCUAACACAUGCAAGUCGAACGCGAAAGUCCCGCAAGGGAUGAGUAGAGUGGCAAACGGGUGAGUAACACGUGGGUGACCUGCCUUCGAGUGGGGGAUAACGUCCCGAAAGGGACGCUAAUACCGCAUAACAUCCUGCCUUUUAAGAGGUGGAGAUCAAAGCUGGGGAUCGCAAGACCUAGCGCUGGAAGAGGGGCCCGCGUCCGAUUAGCUAGNGGUGAGGUAACGGCUCACCAAGGCAACGAUCGGUAGCCGGCCUGAGAGGGCGGACGGCCACACUGGGACUGAGACACGGCCCAGACUCCUACGGGAGGCAGCAGUAGGGAAUUGUUCGCAAUGGGCGCAAGCCUGACGACGCAACGCCGCGUGGAGGAUGAAGAUUUCGGA
This 405-nucleotide ribosomal RNA is filed under the name uncultured bacterium. RNAcentral's name for it is "bacterial SSU rRNA". It matches the Rfam family "Bacterial small subunit ribosomal RNA", at positions 29 to 421 of the family's 1533-position model. The record is from RNAcentral.